Long non-coding RNA from Odontomachus brunneus, 427 nucleotides. RefSeq lists it as uncharacterized. The record is from RefSeq and is a predicted model, not a curated record. The transcript is spliced from 3 exons. Lineage: Eukaryota; Metazoa; Arthropoda; Insecta; Hymenoptera; Formicidae.
UAAUCUAACAUAACCCGAUACUCUCGUACCUAAUAUCUGCAUGCCAAAUGUCGUUGUAUUUUCGACUCGUCGAUGCAAAGUAAGCUCCCUGUGACUAAUUAGGCAAACUAUCUUUUGUUCCAGAUUCAGUGGAGCUUGCAACGGGAAUGUGAAGGAAACUGCAAUUCCGGAGGAUGUAUAGAGACGUGGGUGUGAAUGCCGUUGAGAAUCCGGUUCGAGCAGAGCAUAGUCGACUUGAAGAUCUAGCGGAGCUUGCGACUGGAGCGUGAGGGCAGCUGUAAUUCCGGAGGAUGUGGAUGUGGGUGCGAAUGCCGUACCGGAGGAUCCGGUUCGGGCAGUGCAGAGUCGACUCGAAGACCUUGAGAGCGGAGUGUGGUCGACUCUGCGUUUGGUGAGUACGAGAAAUGGGAAAAUAUUUAUGGUGGUG